CCUACGGGUGACAGCAGUGAGGAAUAUUGGUCAAUGGACGAGAGUCUGAACCAGCCAAGUAGCGUGAAGGAUGACUGCCCUAUGGGUUGUAAACUUCUUUUAUAUGGGAAUAAAAUGUUCCACGUGUGGGAUUUUGUAUGUACCAUAUGAAUAAGGAUCGGCUAACUCCGUGCCAGCAGCCGCGGUAAUACGGAGGAUCCGAGCGUUAUCCGGAUUUAUUGGGUUUAAAGGGAGCGUAGGUGGAGUGUUAAGUCAGUUGUGAAAGUUUGCGGCUCAACCGUAAAAUUGCAGUUGAAACUGGCAGUCUUGAGUACAGUAGAGGUGGGCGGAAUUCGUGGUGUAGCGGUGAAAUGCUUAGAUAUCACGAAGAACUCCGAUUGCGAAGGCAGUUCACUGGACUGCAACUGACACUGAGGCUCGAAAGUGUGGGUAUCAAACAGGAUUAGAUACCCCUGUAGUC
This 460-nucleotide ribosomal RNA is filed under the name uncultured bacterium. Its description in RNAcentral is "partial 16S ribosomal RNA". It matches the Rfam family "Bacterial small subunit ribosomal RNA", at positions 338 to 795 of the family's 1533-position model. The record is from RNAcentral.